UACAGAGGGGGCAAGCGUUGUUCGGAAUUACUGGGCGUAAAGGGCGCGUAGGCGGCCUGCUAAGUCGAACGUGAAAUCCCCGAGCUCAACUCGGGAACUGCGUCCGAUACUGACAGGCUUGAAUCCGGGAGAGGGAUGCGGAAUUCCAGGUGUAGCGGUGAAAUGCGCAGAUAUCAGGAGGAACACCGGUGGCGAAGGCGGAUCUCUGGGCCGAUACUGACGCUGAGGAGCGAAAGCGUGGGGAGCGAACAGG
Molecule: ribosomal RNA, 253 nt
Filed under: uncultured bacterium
Lineage: Bacteria
Description: partial 16S ribosomal RNA
Rfam family: Bacterial small subunit ribosomal RNA
Source: RNAcentral